Molecule: transfer RNA, 64 nt
Filed under: Euprepiophis perlaceus (Szechwan rat snake)
Lineage: Eukaryota; Metazoa; Chordata; Lepidosauria; Squamata; Colubridae
Description: Euprepiophis perlacea (Szechwan rat snake) tRNA-Asp
Source: RNAcentral
GAGAACCUAGUAAACAUAAUUACAUGGCUUCGUCAUAGCCAAAUCACAAACCCUGUGGUCCUCA